RNAcentral lists this ribosomal RNA (666 nucleotides) under Triticum aestivum (bread wheat). RNAcentral's name for it is "partial small subunit ribosomal RNA". The record is from RNAcentral. Lineage: Eukaryota; Viridiplantae; Streptophyta; Magnoliopsida; Poales; Poaceae.
AUGGAACAGACGAAUGUCAGGUUGCCCCAGCUGGCCAAGAUAGCAGCGCUCCUCCUCCUCUUCCUCCUCGUCCCCAUGGUGCCUCCUUCUCUGAGGGCCCCUUAUCUCUACCUCCUCUUCAACGCCCUCGUCGUCGGCCUUGGUCUCCAGGCCGGCAUCAUCUCGGUCUCAAGCCGGAGCAACUUAACAGCCCAGCCUCCUGCCCCUGCUGCUGCUGUAACUCCCAACCACCAUCACCACCUUGUCACUUCACAGCCGCCGAUCAUGGCGGCCCCCUUGCCAGGACGACUCAGGGAGGUAAAUCUGCUUGCAGAUCGCGGUGCUGUCAACAACGUCGUGGCCGUGGCCAAGAAACUGAAGGAGACGAUCAAGAAAGUCCCGUCCAGGGCGAGCAUCUUCUUCAUCGGGAGCGUGGACCCCCACGACGCCGGCGAGGUCGUGGACGCGACGUCAAAGACGCUCCACGACAAGGAAGGGCGGAAAAGGUGCAAGGUAGACGCCUCCUCCGGGGAUCUCAUGAGCAAGCAGGAACUUUACGCCAAGGCCGACGCCUUCAUCGGCAACUUCUACAAGCAGCUCAAGAUGCAGAGGGAGGAGUCCUGGAACAAGCUGCAGGACCUGUGCAGCUACCACCACCACCACAACUACAAGGCCAAGGCCUUCUAG